AAAGUCGUGAAAACGACACGGGAAACGCUAACGCGAGCGCGCUGCGAUUCCCCGUCCCCAGCCGUCGCGGGCCGGGCGGAGGGAGGCCAGGUCAACCUCGCAGGCCGCGGUGCUGCCGCCGCCGCCGCCGGGCCCUCGGUGCCGCCGAGCCCCGGUGAGACGAGGCCUCCGCCCGGCCCCCGGCUGCUGCCGGCCCCGGCUCCUCGCAGCGAGGCCUGGGGGCUCGGGGAGGGCCGGAGACGGAGGCCCGCGGCCCGCAGCCUUCCCCCGGCCGCCGCCCGCCUGGGCCCUCCGCCCCGUUCUCCUCACGGGGGCGCCGGGACCGCGGCGGGCGGAGCCGCGGCCGGAUCGGGGCCGGGGCUGGAGCCGGGGCUGGGGCCGGGCCCGCCGCCCUUCCGUGCCCAGCCCGCAGGCCCCACGGCCCCGCAGCGCUGCCCGCGGAGCCCCAGCGCGGCCCCGGCCGUGCCGUGCCGUGGAGAAGCCCCUGGCCUCGGUCCCCAGCCAGCCUGGGGUCGUUUUGGUCCCUCAAGUCGGUGUCCCCAGGACUGCGGGUGCCCCCUGAGCCGGGCUGGCGGCUCGCAAGUCCCCCCACGAGCAGCCCGUUUACGCAGCAAAGCACAGCACGGAGGACGGUCACCCCUGAGCUGGGCGGAUAAAAUCACCGGGGUGGCUUUUGUGGCACAAGCAGAGCAAGUGGUGGCAAGGAGGGGACAACAAAGAGGGCCGCACCAAGUGCUUUUCAACUUCAUACACCCCUGCAUCGCUACGCCAGCCAGAGCUGUGCGGAAACAGCAGCGAGCGAAAGAGACCUUCGUGAUCUCGGUAGCCAGAGCAUCGCCCUGUCUAGGGCAGAACUUGUGCAGGACUCGGAGCAAGGGGGAAAUGAAGCGCCAUGGCCAGCAAGGCACCGUGCAGGGUGUCCCGAGGGAGUCAGACCAUCCAGGGACACCCCGCCGACAGCCAGGAGAAGCUUUGCACGGGAACGUUACGGCGGGAGCUGUGCCUGGGCGCACUGGUUUUUGUAGGCGUGCCCUCUCUAUUCCCCUGCCAGAAGCAGCAUUUCCCCAACACACCUAA
Molecule: long non-coding RNA, 1077 nt
Organism: Anser brachyrhynchus (Pink-footed goose)
Lineage: Eukaryota; Metazoa; Chordata; Aves; Anseriformes; Anatidae
Source: Ensembl